AUGUUGAAUCUUCCCAGCCUCUCUCCACCCAAUAGGAACGCGCUCAAAACCAGAUCAUCCUGUGAACUCUUUUUCCUUUUGAACUAUAUUAGUUUGUGGCGGGAUGCAGGGAGGAAAAUAUCUCUACUCUUAUUCUUGCAGAUGGAUCUGAGUGCUACCUUUGAAUCAUUGAUUGCGAAUGGAUCAUCAAAAUUGCACGGGAACAGUUACAAAAGAAAAUCACCAGUAAUCCCUACAGGAGCACGCUCCAUGCUUGAAAUGGUGAAACCUAUUCCUAUCUCUCAUAACAAUCUCCCUGUCGAAGACCUUAGAUAUCAUCUUGGUAUAAUCAUGGCAGUCUUUGCACACUCUCAAGUUCUUCACGAUCCUAAUCACCGUGCCUUCUGGCAACGUGAUAAGACCGAAGGCGAGGGCAAGCUUCUCACUGUGCAAGGAGAUCGCACUUUCUUUCUCCUCUUCCUCGAUAUCGAACAGUACCUCUUUUGUGUUUGCGGCGUACCCUUGCAACCUCAGCUUAUGGCUCAUACCUGCAAGCAUGGUCUCGAUAUCCUUGUAUCUGGGGUGAGACUUGCUCCCGACGAAGAACUCAUGCACCUUGCCAUCAACCUCAAUGGCACUACACCCAGGCACCUUUUUCACUCCCUUAGACUUCAUCAUGUUCCGAACUUUGCUGACGCCCUUCCAGUUGUGCGACUCCGCGUAUAUAUUAGACAGCAACACGUGAGCCGCAUCAUUUUUGGACUCAAUCUUCAUGAGCUUGUACAUUGCGUGUUUGCCCAGAUCGACGUUGUUGUGAAUCCGAGAAGCGUUGAGUAG
RNAcentral lists this ribosomal RNA (816 nucleotides) under Triticum aestivum (bread wheat). RNAcentral describes it as "partial small subunit ribosomal RNA". The record is from RNAcentral. Lineage: Eukaryota; Viridiplantae; Streptophyta; Magnoliopsida; Poales; Poaceae.